GCGCUCCCUGAUAAAAUCAUAUAGGGAGUCCGGCCUGCCCAGUGAUAUUUUUAACGGCCGCGGUACUCUGACCGUGCAAAGGUAGCAUAAUCAUUUGCCCUAUAAUUAAGGGCUCGUAUGAACGGUCUCACAAGAAUGGGACUGUCUCUUUUAAAAUUUCUAAAAUUUGGUUUUUAGGUGAAGAAACCUAAAUUAAAUUGAUAGACAAGAAGACCCUAUCGAGCUUUAAAGUAAUUAGUUAAACAAGUAGUAAACUAACUUUAACUAAAAAUUUUGGUUGGGGCGACUAAGGAACAAAUAAAGCUUCCUCAAAAACUUAAUUACUCAUCAGUAAUGAUCCAAAAUAUUUGAUUAAUAAAAUUAGUUACCGUAGGGAUAACAGCAUAAUCUUUUUUAAGAGUUCUUAUCGAAAAAAAGGUUUGUGACCUCGAUGUUGGACUAGGAUAUCCAGAAAGAUGCAGAAGUCUUCAAUGGUUGGUCUGUUCGACCAAUAAAAUCCU
This 500-nucleotide ribosomal RNA is filed under the name Hydrobioides sp. BS-2022. RNAcentral describes it as "partial large subunit ribosomal RNA". It matches the Rfam family "Bacterial large subunit ribosomal RNA", at positions 1818 to 2597 of the family's 2925-position model. Lineage: Eukaryota; Metazoa; Mollusca; Gastropoda; Littorinimorpha; Bithyniidae. The record is from RNAcentral.